ACCACAUCGCACUAUCGUUAUCGUAUUAUCUGUGUUAAUAUUACGGUCUUCUGGCUUGUAUCGACGUAAUCAACGUACCACAACUGAUGUCCUUGUAUGCAAUAAUGUUAAAUAUUAAAUAGCUUUAAUACUUUCAUAGUACAUUUUGCAUAUUGGGCUGUGGGUACCACGCUAUGUGUCACCUACCGAGCACUCAGUACCCACAUAGCACAUAAUUCACUAUGGCAGUCGCCAUACUUGGACAUAGGGAUCGGCGCCACUGCUAAUAAUAUUAGUACAUUGUAUAAUACAAUCGAUCGGUGUUUUAUAUUUGUCGUACGAUAAUAUUACAAUAAGUCAGUGAUUUCCUGACAUGAACGUUGCCUCUUUUCUUGUAUGCGUUUUUAAUUUUUAAAGAAAGCUAAAGAGGACUAUUCAUUGGUCUCUUACAUUAGUAUUAUAAGAUUUGUUCUGACUCAAAUAAGAAACUAUGUACAAUACUCUCAAAAUUUCAUAGAAAUGGAGGUAUAAAAUAACGGCUUUUGUGCAAACUAUAACAAUUAUUCUUACAAAAUCAACACGUUGAUUAGAAAUUUGUGAAAGGGAAUAUUUAAGACUAAUGAAGAGAUCUAUUGAGCCAGUAAUUAUUUCAUUAGUAGGACAUCAUCAACUUCAAUGGAGUUAUCGGUCAAAACAACGGAGUAUUUCUCUAAGCUUUGGUGUGAAAUAGAAAUCUUUGCUGAAGAUAAUGAAAUAUCAAUACAAACGCCAUCUAAAGGAUGUAAAAGAAAAAUACAAUAGCCACACAAUCUUCAACAUUUUGAUACUAUUGCAACCACAAGUGCUGAACAAAAUAUUAAUGACACCAUUGAAACUAUUGAAGAUUAUUUUAGAAAAAAUGUUUCCUUUCCUGUAUUUAAUGCUAUCUUGAUAAAUCUGGAGAAAAUAUUUUCUAUUGAAAGCCUCCAAAUGGCUACAGCUGUUGAUCAAUUUUUUCAAUUAAACUUGGAGGAAAGUCUUUUCUUUGUAGAUCAUUAUAAAGAUUUGAUGAAUGUAUCUAAAGAUGUAUUACAAUCAGAAAUAGAAGUGAAAAAUAAUUGUAUAUUGUAAUCUACCGAUGAAAAUUAUAAAACUUUAAAUGAUGUGAAAAAGGUUUUAACAAAACAGACUUUCCCUAAUUUAUAAAAACUAUUUCAAGUUACUUUAACAAUUCCUAUAAGUUCCUCCACUCGUGAAAGGAGUUUUUCGGCCAUGCGUAGAAUAAAAACUUGGCUUAGAACUUCUAUGCUGUAGGAAAGGUUCAACAACACCUCAAUAUUAUAUAUUGAAAAAUAAAUUUCUAAAUCUAUUAAUACUGAAACAAUUGU
Molecule: long non-coding RNA, 1346 nt
Filed under: Sipha flava (yellow sugarcane aphid)
Lineage: Eukaryota; Metazoa; Arthropoda; Insecta; Hemiptera; Aphididae
Description: uncharacterized LOC112681847, transcript variant X2
Source: RNAcentral